RNAcentral lists this ribosomal RNA (1529 nucleotides) under uncultured bacterium. RNAcentral describes it as "partial 16S ribosomal RNA". It matches the Rfam family "Bacterial small subunit ribosomal RNA", at positions 29 to 1379 of the family's 1533-position model. The record is from RNAcentral.
AUGAAUGUUGGCGGCGGGCCUGAGAUAUGCAAGUCGAACGGGCUUGUGUGGAGCACAAGGGCAUAUAGCAAAUAGCUGGUAGCUUAUAGCUAAGAAAUAUAAAAUCUUAGAUCUAUACGCCAUUAGCAAUAAGCUAUUGGCUCUCGUGCUCUGCGCGAGCAAGUGGCGGACGGCUGAGUAACGCGUAGGAAUCUCCCCCUUUCUGGGGAAUACCCCCGAGAAAUCGGGGCUAAUACCCCAUAGUGUCGAGUUUUACUCGAUUAAAGAGCGUAACUGCUUGGAAAAGGAUGAGCCUGCGUCCUAUCAGAUAGUUGGUGAGGUAAUGGCUCACCAAGUCGAUGACGGGUAGCUGGCCUGAGAAGGUGGUCAGCCAGAGGGGGACUGCGAUACGGCCCCCACUCCUACGGGAGGCAGCAAUCAGGAAUAGUCGGCAAUGGGCGAAAGCCUGACCGCGCGACGCCGCGUGUAGGAUGAAGUUCUAACGAGCGUAAACUACUGUAGUAAGGGAAGAAAGUCGAGUUUAACUCGAUGUGACGGUACCUUACGAGAAAGGGGCCGCUAACUGCGUGCCAGAAGCGACGGUAAUACGUGGGCCCCAAACAUUAUCCGGUUUUAUUGGGCGUAAAGGGUCGUGUAGGCGGGCCGAUCAGUCUUGGUUUAAAUACUACAGCUUAACUGUAGAACAGGUCAAGAUACUAUCGGUCUCGAGUUUUCUUUAGGGAGAAUGGAACUUAAGGAGGAGUAGUGAAAUGCGUUGAUACCUUAGGGAACACCAGUGGCGAAGGCGAUUCUCUGGAAGAUGACUGACGCUGAGACACGAAAGCUAGGGGAGCGAAGCAGAUUAGAGACCUGCGUAGUCCUAGCCCUAAACGAAUGCUUGCUAGCUGCAUGAGAUCAGCUUUCAGCUGAUAGCUUAUGGCUUAUAGCUUAUUGCAAAUGGACGACAAAUCCCAUCUGCUAUUGGCUAUCAGCUAUUUGCUACCAGCUAGAAGCUGGUUUCGUGUGGCGAAGGUAACCCGUUAAGCAAGCCGCCUGGGGAGUACGGCCGCAAGGUUGAAACUCAAAGGAAUUGGCGGGGAGGCACACAACCAGUGGAACAUGUGGUUUAAUUCGAAACAAAACGAAGAACCUCACCAAGAUUUGACAUCCUAGCGUUCUAUUCCGUAGAAAUACGGGAAAUGCGCAAGCAGGCUAGGACAGGUACUGCAUGGCUGUCUUCAGCUCGUUCCGUGAGGAGUGCCCUUAAGUGGGACAACGAGCGCAACCCCUAUCUUGUGUUAUAUUUGUCACAAGAGACGGUCCCAGCUUUGCUGGGAAGGAAGGAGGGGCAGACGUCAAGUCAGCAUGGUCCUUAUAUCUUGGGCUACACACAUGUUACAAUGGAGGAGACAGCGAGUUUUGCAAGCGUGCAAACGCAAGCAAAUCUCACAAACUCAUCCUCAGUGGGGAUUGGGGUCUGAAACUCGACCCCAUGAACACGGAAUUGGUAGUAAUCGCGGUCAGCUAUACCGCGUGAUACAAUCUUGCCU